Molecule: transfer RNA, 72 nt
Filed under: Camelus bactrianus (Bactrian camel)
Lineage: Eukaryota; Metazoa; Chordata; Mammalia; Artiodactyla; Camelidae
Also listed under: 1 other name
Rfam family: tRNA
About the family: Transfer RNA (tRNA) molecules are approximately 80 nucleotides in length. Their secondary structure includes four short double-helical elements and three loops (D, anti-codon, and T loops). Further hydrogen bonds mediate the characteristic L-shaped molecular structure. tRNAs have two regions of fundamental functional importance: the anti-codon, which is responsible for specific mRNA codon recognition, and the 3' end, to which the tRNAs corresponding amino acid is attached (by aminoacyl-tRNA synthetases). tRNAs cope with the degeneracy of the genetic code in two manners: having more than one tRNA (with a specific anti-codon) for a particular amino acid; and 'wobble' base-pairing, i.e. permitting non-standard base-pairing at the 3rd anti-codon position.
Source: Rfam by way of RNAcentral
UAGAGCAUAGCUCAGUGGUAGAGUGCACGCUUAGCAUGCACGAGGUCCUGGGUUCAAUCCCCAGUACUUCAU